Molecule: ribosomal RNA, 510 nt
Filed under: uncultured bacterium
Lineage: Bacteria
Description: partial 16S ribosomal RNA
Rfam family: Bacterial small subunit ribosomal RNA
Source: RNAcentral
ACAAACGCUGGCGGCAUGCCUAACACAUGCAAGUCGAACGGACAGAACAGGGAAGCUUUUCGGAGUGGAACUGGAAAGUUAGUGGCGGAUGGGUGAGUAACGCGUGGACAACCUACCUUGUAAAGGGGAAUAACCUCGAGAAAUCGAAGCUAAUACCCCAUAAUAACCUUGCUUCGCAUGAAGUAAGGAGGAAAGGCGGCCUUAGCGCUGUCGAUACAAGAUGGGUCCGCGUCUGAUUAGCUAGUUGGUGAGGUAAAGGCUCGCCAAGGCGACGAUCAGUAGCCGGCCUGAGAGGGUGAACGGCCACAUUGGGACUGAGACACGGCCCAAACUCCUACGGGAGGCAGCAGUGGGGAAUCUUCCGCAAUGGGCGAAAGCCUGACGGAGCAAUGCCGCGUGAGUGAAGAAGGCCUUCGGGUUGUAAAACUCUGUCCUUAUCGAAGAGAGAGUGUUGUAGUAACUGACAAUACUAGGACGGUAGAUGAGGAGGAAGCCCCGGCUAACUAUGUG